UGCGCUAUCAGAUGAGCCUAGGUCGGAUUAGCUAGUUGGUGAGGUAAUGGCUCACCAAGGCUACGAUCCGUAACUGGUCUGAGAGGAUGAUCAGUCACACUGGAACUGAGACACGGUCCAGACUCCUACGGGAGGCAGCAGUGGGGAAUAUUGGACAAUGGGCGAAAGCCUGAUCCAGCACAGGCCGCGUGUGUGAAGAAGGUCUUCGGAUUGUAAAGCAAUUGAGUGGGAGGAAGGGCAUUACCUAAUACGUUA
This 255-nucleotide ribosomal RNA is filed under the name uncultured bacterium. Its description in RNAcentral is "partial 16S ribosomal RNA". It matches the Rfam family "Bacterial small subunit ribosomal RNA", at positions 214 to 477 of the family's 1533-position model. The record is from RNAcentral.